RNAcentral lists this ribosomal RNA (403 nucleotides) under uncultured bacterium. RNAcentral describes it as "bacterial SSU rRNA". It matches the Rfam family "Bacterial small subunit ribosomal RNA", at positions 976 to 1380 of the family's 1533-position model. The record is from RNAcentral.
UAAGCUUGACAUCCCUCGGACCGGUAGUUAAUCCUACCUUCCCUUCGGGGUCGAGGUGACAGGUGGUGCAUGGUUGUCGUCAGCUCGUGUCGUGAGAUGUUGGGUUAAGUCCCGCAACGAGCGCAACCCUUGUCUUUAGUUGCCAGCAUUUAGUUGGGCACUCUAGAGAGACUGCCAGGGAUAACCUGGAGGAAGGUGGGGAUGACGUCAAAUCAUCAUGCCCCUUAUGCUUAGGGCUACACACGUGCUACAAUGGGUGGUACAGAGGGUUGCCAAACCGUGAGGUGGAGCUAAUCCCUUAAAGCCAUUCUCAGUUCGGAUUGUAGGCUGAAACUCGCCUACAUGAAGCUGGAGUUACUAGUAAUCGCAGAUCAGAAUGCUGCGGUGAAUGCGUUCCCGGGUC